Long non-coding RNA from Adelges cooleyi (spruce gall adelgid), 491 nucleotides. RefSeq lists it as uncharacterized. NCBI's taxonomy places the organism in Eukaryota, Metazoa, Arthropoda, Insecta, Hemiptera, Adelgidae. The transcript is spliced from 2 exons. The record is from RefSeq and is a predicted model, not a curated record.
UCACGAACUAGGUAAGUGCGUGUGUGUGUGUGCAUACGAUCGUACAUUCUAGUGCAUAUAAGUACAGCAAUCCGAAUGCAGUCGCCAAACGACAGCAGCGGUGAAACGGGGCCGCGACCUCAAGUGCUACCGACGACCGUUGCAACGAGUGCCGCCGACUUGCUGCAAUGGACGGACCGUAUUUGGAAGCCGAUGGCAUAAAAAGAUAACAUACAUACAUACUUACACGUCAGACCGACUCGUUGUGAAAAACAUGAAACAGUUAUAAUAUGAUUAUUAUUAUUAUGUUAAUCUUAAUUGUAUUCCGUCUAUUAACAUCACACUGUAACUUGGAAAAAUGACCCUCAAAAUGUGGCAUAAUGUGACUACUUGCUGUCAAUAUUCAAUAACAAACUAUUGUGCGGUUCAUUAUUUAAAGUCCAAAUGAAACAUUAUAUAGUGUAAAAAAAUGUGCAUAAAUCAAUAAUCAUAAUAUAAUCUAAUACUAUAAU